Molecule: long non-coding RNA, 1037 nt
Organism: Oreochromis niloticus (Nile tilapia)
Lineage: Eukaryota; Metazoa; Chordata; Actinopteri; Cichliformes; Cichlidae
Exons: 4
Source: RefSeq, a predicted model, not a curated record
CCCCAGGCCACUGACAGCAGGCAUCAUAAUGCCCCGCCCAGCUUCCGGCACCUUUCGCCACUCCGGCAGAACACACAAAACGACACAGCAUUGCGAUCUCCCCAGCAUGCAGAGUCUGAUGUCGAGGCCUUCCCUAUAGAUGAUUCCAGAGACUCUGUGAGGCCACUAUUACAAGGCAAGUUCGAACAUCUUGGAAUUUCAGAUUUUACAUGGUAUAAAUGGUAAAUGGCCUAUAUUUGUACAGCGCUUUAACUAGUCUCUAAGGACCCCAAAGCGCUUUACACAUUCAGUCAUCCACCCAUUCACACACACAUUCACGCACUGGUGAUGGCAGCUACAUAUACAAAUAUCACAUAUAUGUGACAGGCAAAAACUAGCAAACACUUUUAGCAGUUAGAACAACUUAUACUUGAAUGCAGAAUGUUACACCAUCACUUAUGGAUAUAUUAGUUUUUCGCCUCUCACUGCUUAAGCCAUUAAUCUUUCUAGAAUUGUUCUUUGAAACAGAUGCGACCUCACAAAAGAUGUUAACUAUGCUGUCAGACCUGACGAGAUCUCUUAACGAACUCCGUGAGGAGGUCAGAGCCAUCCACCAUCCCUGCUGCAAUGACUCUGUAGAUGCUGGGGUACUGCCUCUGGAUUUGCCCUUGCACAACAUUGAGGAGCUAAACAAUGCAGAGGCAGCUCUUCAAUGACAAGAGGCAAAUAAGGCAAUGGUGAGACGCUUUGCCUUGAUUGGAGGGACCACACUGGAGGUGCGAGUCCGCCGUGUAAUGGCUUAUGCCAUCACAAACGAGCUGGCCUCGGUACUCAACUGGGUAAGGAAAAAAACCAAGGACCAGACAAAGCAAAAAAGGGCAUUUAAAGAUACAGCGCUGUGCAGAUGCAUAUUUGAUGGCCUGACGCAGCAGUUAGGGGCGAACUCUAUGUCCGAGUUUGUCUUUGCACAAGCAGUCCAGAAAUGGCUCCGAUACGCCCCAGAUCGUAUGGGUGGUGCAGGACGCACAUCAUCCAUCCUGGAGUAAAAAUUACAAACC